Paramuricea clavata is the source of this 634-nucleotide non-coding RNA. Lineage: Eukaryota; Metazoa; Cnidaria; Anthozoa; Malacalcyonacea; Plexauridae. The record is from the annotation of a GenBank genome assembly.
CCACUGAGCUAUACUAUAUUACUGGAGGAAGUGCUCAGCCAAAAAAGUGUCCGCAAAAACAUGGCGGAUUUUCGCGCCAUAUGACGCCAUUUCCAUGACAACUGGUUCCUCCGGCUCAUGGAAUUACCGCUGACCAGGCUCAAUUCUGAGCCCGCUACAAUUUUCACCCCCCCCUGGUUUUAUCAAAAAAAAUUUUGCUUUUCGAGGUUUUUGCAGUAAAAUCUCGUUGUUUUUUUAUAUUUUUUCGACUUUUGACCAUUUGUUAAAAGAUUUAAAAGUCGUACACGCUAUUCUCACCCGCAAAAGACAACAAACCAAUAUGAAAAGCCCGAGAAAUUUAGGCAAAGGCGAUAUUUGAUGGCAGAGCUCACAGGUAAAUAUUUCACAUACGUUUGUUUUUAUUUUUAAUUUUUAAAAGAUAAUGGGAGUAAAUGAUAGAAUAUAAUCCAUUAGAUAACAGGCUCUUUGUAUAGUAUAACGUAUUAUUUUCCCCCAUGUGUUCAAAGUCUUGUCGUAAAAAAAUACAGAAACUUUGUUUUUAUAUUCAAAUUAAGUUUUUUUGUUGUUUUUUUCUUACUUUACAAGCUUUGUUAAAUAUUUGUUGGCUGGCCAUGGUUUUGUUAAACAAAUUUUG